ACCCGCUGAAUUUAAGCAUAUCAAUAAGCGGAGGAAAAGAAACCAACAGGGAUUGCCUUAGUAACGGCGAGUGAAGCGGCAAAAGCUCAAAUUUGAAAUCGGCCCCCAGGUCGAGUUGUAAUUUGUAGAUUGUAUCUUGAGAGCGGAUUAAAGUCUGUUGGAACACAGCGCCUUAGAGGGUGACAGCCCCGUAAAAUCUAUUCUCAUUGUAAGAUACUUUCGAAGAGUCGAGUUGUUUGGGAAUGCAGCUCUAAGUGGGAGGUAAAUUCCUUCUAAAGCUAAAUAUUGACGAGAGACCGAUAGCGAACAAGUACUGUGAAGGAAAGAUGAAAAGCACUUUGAAAAGAGGGUGAAAAAGUACGUGAAAUUGUUAAAAGGGAAGGGUAUUGAAUCAGACUUGGUGCUGUUGUUCAACUGUGUUUCGGCAUAGUGUACUCAGCAGUACUAGGCCAAGGUGGGGUGUUUGGGAGUGAAAAAGAAGUAGGAACGUAACUCUUCGGAGUGUUAUAGCCUACUUUCAUAGCUCCUCAGGCGCCUCAGGACUGCGCUUCGGCAAGGACCUUGGCAUAAUGAUUCUAUACCGCCCGUCUUGAAACACGGACCAAGGAG
RNAcentral lists this ribosomal RNA (609 nucleotides) under uncultured fungus. Its description in RNAcentral is "eukaryotic LSU rRNA". It matches the Rfam family "Eukaryotic large subunit ribosomal RNA", at positions 23 to 673 of the family's 3401-position model. The record is from RNAcentral. Lineage: Eukaryota; Fungi.